UACAGAGGGGGCAAGCGUUGUUCGGAAUUACUGGGCGUAAAGGGCGCGUAGGCGGCCUGCUAAGUCGAACGUGAAAUCCCCGGGCUCAACCCGGGAACUGCGUCCGAUACUGGUAGGCUUGAAUCCGGGAGAGGGAUGCGGAAUUCCAGGUGUAGCGGUGAAAUGCGUAGAUAUCUGGAGGAACACCGGUGGCGAAGGCGAGUCCCUGGACGACUCCUGACACUGAGGCACGAAAGCUAGGGGAGCAAACAGG
This 253-nucleotide ribosomal RNA is filed under the name uncultured bacterium. RNAcentral describes it as "partial 16S ribosomal RNA". It matches the Rfam family "Bacterial small subunit ribosomal RNA", at positions 524 to 776 of the family's 1533-position model. The record is from RNAcentral.